RNAcentral lists this long non-coding RNA (762 nucleotides) under Chinchilla lanigera (long-tailed chinchilla). Its description in RNAcentral is "lncRNA (ENSCLAG00000028986.1)". The record is from RNAcentral. Lineage: Eukaryota; Metazoa; Chordata; Mammalia; Rodentia; Chinchillidae.
GGGUGGCUUUGCUCAUGUCUGUCAUCUCUGGGUUCACUUCCAGAUUGGACAGAAGGGGUCACCUCUGCCCAGGGACCUCCAAGGGCCCAGCACCUCCAUGCUCCAUGUCUGUGGACAGCGCCUAGCACCUCCCUCACAGGGCCAGUGUGACCGACAGAAGCGCUCCGGACCGCGGUUGCUCUGGGUGUUGGGUCUCUGCGGCCACCCCUCUUCCUGCUGCGCUUCCCGACCACAGUUUGCCUCAGAAACACCAGGAAGCUCCCUCUGUACCAACUCCUGCUUGGUCCCCUCGGAGAUGCUGAUGUGAACUUUUCCAGCAGAGGAAGUGAUCCUCCCGUAGGCUUCCGUGCCCCCGGCCUUGGCAGCAAAUCUCUCCGAGGACCGGAAACCCAGUCUGGCCAGUUGUGCUGGGCUCAGCGAAAACGGGAAAGGUGCAAUCCCUCAGGGAGAGGAGGUGAGUCCCGGCAAGAGGACACCGUUGCGAACGUGUGGGGGAAGACGUCACUCCCAGUUUAGAUCCCACACCCUUGACUUCCUUGUGCAGAUGUGCAGCGAGCCCAGCAGCCCCAUCCGGGCUCUCGGGGCGGGGGGGCGGGGAGGGGAAGGCGCAUACUGUCCCCCAGCCUGAGCCCAGGCUCGAGUGCCGGGAUGCCGCCUGGCAGGUGCAGCAUGAGGAUGGGGAGCGGGCAGACGAGGCCGGGAAGAAGGAGCCACAAAGGGUCCGCGCGUCAGGGUCGAACCGGCCCCACAGAAGCUCUCCAC